This 268-nucleotide unclassified non-coding RNA is filed under the name Hevea brasiliensis (rubber tree). Lineage: Eukaryota; Viridiplantae; Streptophyta; Magnoliopsida; Malpighiales; Euphorbiaceae. The record is from RNAcentral.
AUUAUGGUCAUCAAAUGGGAAGCAAGCUGCCUUCCCCUCAAACCUCGACGCCUCAUACAAUCCCUCAGAACAAAGGGUGUACACUUUGUAUUUUCCCUCAAAGAAUCCAAAAAGCCCAGAGAUUAAAUCACCAGUAGGGAACCCAAUAGCAACUAUCUUUUCGCUGAUAUAAGCCAUAUCCAAAUCAAACCCUCCCUCCUGGUAUCUAUGUUUAUUUUGAGAUACAACAUGAUGUGCCUUGACUUGCAUAGCCUUCACAGCACUUCGA